AUGAACGCUGGCGGCGUGCCUAAUACAUGCAAGUCGAGCGAACGGACGAGAAGCUUGCUUUUCUGAUGUUAGCGGCGGACGGGUGAGUAACACGUGGAUAACCUACCUAUAAGACUGGGAUAACUUCGGGAAACCGGAGCUAAUACCGGAUAAUAUUUUGAACCGCAUGGUUCAAAAGUGAAAGACGGUCUUGCUGUCACUUAUAGAUGGAUCCGCGCUGCAUUAGCUAGUUGGUAAGGUAACGGCUUACCAAGGCAACGACGCAUAGCCGACCUGAGAGGGUGAUCGGCCACACUGGAACUGAGACACGGUCCAGACUCCUACGGGAGGCAGCAGUAGGGAAUCUUCCGCAAUGGGCGAAAGCCUGACGGAGCAACGCCGCGUGAGUGAUGAAGGUCUUCGGAUCGUAAAACUCUGUUAUUAGGGAAGAACAUAUGUGUAAGUAACUGUGCACAUCUUGACGGUACCUAAUCAGAAAGCCACGGCUAACUACGUG
Molecule: ribosomal RNA, 496 nt
Filed under: uncultured bacterium
Lineage: Bacteria
Description: partial 16S ribosomal RNA
Rfam family: Bacterial small subunit ribosomal RNA
Source: RNAcentral